UGCUGGUUUCCUCUGCGGUGAUAUUCCAAAUGAAGUGCUUAUCACCGGGUGAAAACUGGUAGA
RNAcentral lists this microRNA precursor (63 nucleotides) under Caenorhabditis briggsae. RNAcentral's name for it is "Cbr-Mir-36-o3_pre stem-loop". It matches the Rfam family "mir-36 microRNA precursor family", at positions 24 to 85 of the family's 103-position model. The record is from RNAcentral. Lineage: Eukaryota; Metazoa; Nematoda; Chromadorea; Rhabditida; Rhabditidae.